This 462-nucleotide ribosomal RNA is filed under the name uncultured bacterium. Its description in RNAcentral is "SSU rRNA". It matches the Rfam family "Bacterial small subunit ribosomal RNA", at positions 26 to 518 of the family's 1533-position model. The record is from RNAcentral.
AGAAUCAACGCUGGCGGCGUGCCUAACACAUGCAAGUCGAACGAGAAAGUGGAGCAAUCCAUGAGUAAAGUGGCGACCGGGUGAGUAACACGUGACUAACCUACCUUCGAGUGGGGGAUAACCUCGGGAAACCGAGGCUAAUACCGCAUAACAUCGUGAGAUCAAAGCAGUAAUGCGCUGGAAGAGGGGGUCGCGGCUGAUUAGCUAGUUGGCGGGGUAAUGGCCCACCAAGGCGAAGAUCGGUAGCCGGCCUGAGAGGGCGCACGGCCGACACUGGAACUGAAACACGGUCCAGACUCCUACGGGAGGCAGCAGUGGGGAAUUUUGCGCAAUGGGGGAAACCCUGACGCAGCAACGCCGCGUGGAGGAUGAAGUCCCUUGGGACGUAAACUCCUUUCGACCAAGACGAUAAUGACGGUACUGGGUGGAGGAAGCACCGGCUAACUCUGUGCCAGCAGCCGU